AAUGAAAUCAGAUCUCUCUUCCUCUGCUCAGUGCUCACACGCGUUCUCUCUCUCUCUUUCUCAGUUCUCUUAGCUGCGUCUCUCACUCUCCCUCUCCUUUUCACCCGGCGACGCCGCCGGUCCUCUCCGCCUCCGGCGCGACGAGGCCGGUUCCUCUCCUUCCUCUAUCUCUUUUUUCUAUUUCUUCCCUUCAAUCUAAAUCCCCAAAUUAUAAAAUCAAAAUCUGGGGUUUCUACCUCUCUUCAUCCCCUCUAGACUUCGUAUCUCCGGCGAAGCCUACCGCCCCGCCGUCGUCUCUAUCACGCCGCCGCCUCCUCUGUUUCAGGUAAGUCCCUGUCUCUCUCUCUACUUCUGUCUCUGCUCUCUCCCUCGAACUCCCUCUUUCUCUGCCCUCUCUCGCUCUCUCGCUCUCUCUCUCUGUCCAGGCUCGCGUCUGCUGCUGCCGCUUGCCUCUUCUUCCUCCUCUGUUUCUGUUUCUCUUACCUUCUUUCUUUUCUAGUUUAAUAGCUUGUUUAGCAAAUCCCUAACUAUUUCCUUAUCUCAGGAAUCGAUGAUUCAACUCCGGCGAGGCAGCCCGCCUGCUGAUCAAUGCUCAAGAUUCUAUUUUUUUCUACCUUUCUUAUUGUAAAUUUAUGUUCUUUCAUUGAUUGAUUAUUGAAGAACUGAAGCUGUAAUGGUUGGGGAAAUCGUACUGUGCUUAUAGAAAUUAGAGUUAGAGAUAUCUGUUUGUGCUUAACUGGUGUAGCUAUGUCUGUUUUCACUGCUUUUCUUACAUAAAGAAUCUACUGUAUUGAAAGAAAGACUACCUUCUUUGAUGUCUGCUGUGGAGGAUGUGUGUUUGAAUGGAUGAUUGCUGCGUGUUUAAGAUUGCAGAAUGAGGAAGGAAAGGGUUUAA
Molecule: long non-coding RNA, 895 nt
Filed under: Salvia miltiorrhiza (redroot sage)
Lineage: Eukaryota; Viridiplantae; Streptophyta; Magnoliopsida; Lamiales; Lamiaceae
Description: long non-coding RNA (SMIL_LNC001470)
Source: RNAcentral